AUCAGUUACAUCAAGAACUCCUAUAUUUGCUUCUUUAUAUAAAACAUUGUAUAACUCUGUUUUGAGUUAUUUAAUAUUGUUAACUGCCCAAGAUUUGUUUAGUAUGUUAAUUUGUUCUAAUAUUUUUAUAUAAUCUAUAAUCAUUAUGCAUCAUGCCAUUUGAUUCUUAGGGCUUAGAAACUGGAUAUUUCGAAGAUGACGGCUUCAUAGUCGUCGUUUCUGAAGGUGUCGAGAUGGGUAGAUUCCCAGCCAAGAGAAGGCAAUCCUUAAACUGGUCCUGGGUCAAGGGUAUCUAUGAAAUAAGGAGACGAAUGUCUCUGCCUGAAAUAAUACCUGAUUGGCCCGAAUUGAUGGAGGCUGUCAAAAUAAAG
This is a long non-coding RNA of Helicoverpa armigera (cotton bollworm), 371 nucleotides long. RefSeq lists it as uncharacterized. Lineage: Eukaryota; Metazoa; Arthropoda; Insecta; Lepidoptera; Noctuidae. The record is from RefSeq and is a predicted model, not a curated record. The transcript is spliced from 2 exons.